This 1343-nucleotide ribosomal RNA is filed under the name uncultured bacterium. RNAcentral's name for it is "16S ribosomal RNA". It matches the Rfam family "Bacterial small subunit ribosomal RNA", at positions 28 to 1378 of the family's 1533-position model. The record is from RNAcentral.
GACGAACGCUGGCGGCGUGCUUAACACAUGCAAGUCGAACGGAAAGGCCCUGCUUUUGUGGGGUGCUCGAGUGGCGAACGGGUGAGUAACACGUGAGUAACCUGCCCUUGACUUUGGGAUAACUUCAGGAAACUGGGGCUAAUACCGGAUAGGAGCUCCUGCUGCAUGGUGGGGGUUGGAAAGUUUCGGCGGUUGGGGAUGGACUCGCGGCUUAUCAGCUUGUUGGUGGGGUAGUGGCUUACCAAGGCUUUGACGGGUAGCCGGCCUGAGAGGGUGACCGGCCACAUUGGGACUGAGAUACGGCCCAGACUCCUACGGGAGGCAGCAGUGGGGAAUAUUGCACAAUGGGCGGAAGCCUGAUGCAGCAACGCCGCGUGCGGGAUGACGGCCUUCGGGUUGUAAACCGCUUUCGCCUGUGACGAAGCGUGAGUGACGGUAAUGGGUAAAGAAGCACCGGCUAACUACGUGCCAGCAGCCGCGGUGAUACGUAGGGUGCGAGCGUUGUCCGGAUUUAUUGGGCGUAAAGGGCUCGUAGGUGGUUGAUCGCGUCGGAAGUGUAAUCUUGGGGCUUAACCCUGAGCGUGCUUUCGAUACGGGUUGACUUGAGGAAGGUAGGGGAGAAUGGAAUUCCUGGUGGAGCGGUGGAAUGCGCAGAUAUCAGGAGGAACACCAGUGGCGAAGGCGGUUCUCUGGGCCUUUCCUGACGCUGAGGAGCGAAAGCGUGGGGAGCGAACAGGCUUAGAUACCCUGGUAGUCCACGCUGUAAACGGUGGGUACUAGGUGUGGGGUCCAUUCCACGGGUUCCGUGCCGUAGCUAACGCUUUAAGUACCCCGCCUGGGGAGUACGGCCGCAAGGCUAAAACUCAAAGGAAUUGACGGGGCCCCGCACAAGCGGCGGAGCAUGCGGAUUAAUUCGAUGCAACGCGUAGAACCUUACCUGGGUUUGACAUGGAUCGGGAGUGCUCAGAGAUGGGUGUGCCUCUUUUGGGGUCGGUUCACAGGUGGUGCAUGGCUGUCGUCAGCUCGUGUCGUGAGAUGUUGGGUUAAGUCCCGCAACGAGCGCAACCCUUGUUCACUGUUGCCAGCACGUUAUGGUGGGGACUCAGUGGAGACCGCCGGGGUCAACUCGGAGGAAGGUGGGGAUGACGUCAAGUCAUCAUGCCCCUCAUGUCCAGGGCUUCACGCAUGCUACAAUGGCUGGUACAGAGAGUGGCGAGCCUGUGAGGGUGAGCGAAUCUCGGAAAGCCGGUCUCAGUUCGGAUUGGGGUCUGCAACUCGACCUCAUGAAGUCGGAGUCGCUAGUGAUCGCAGAUCAGCAACGCUGCGGUGAAUACGUUCCCGGG